AUAGAAUUUGGGUCUAGAUCCGUC
RNAcentral lists this non-coding RNA (24 nucleotides) under Arabidopsis thaliana (thale cress). The record is from RNAcentral. Lineage: Eukaryota; Viridiplantae; Streptophyta; Magnoliopsida; Brassicales; Brassicaceae.